GAAGCAAGCCAGACAGCCGCUGGCCGUUGCGCAUUGCGUAGCGGCGGGAGGAAGGUCCGGACUCCACAGAGCAGGGUGACGGCUAACGGCCGUCCGCCGAAAACAGAAGCUUCGGCUUCAGUAUAAGGCGAGGAACAGGGCCACAGAGACGAGCGUAUUAAGUUACGGUGAAACGCGGUAACCUCCACCCGGAGCAAUUCCAAAUAGGCACGCGAUGAUGUUGCUCGCGGAGCGUGCGGGUAGGAAGCUUGAGCCAUGGAGCAAUUCAUGGCCUAGAGGAAUGGCUGUCAUAGCCGGCAGUUUCUGCCGGCCGUAACAGAAUCCGGCCUAUCGGCUUGCUUUAUUU
RNAcentral lists this RNase P RNA (346 nucleotides) under Keguizhuia sedimenti. Its description in RNAcentral is "RNase P RNA component class A". It matches the Rfam family "Bacterial RNase P class A". From Rfam's summary of the family: Ribonuclease P (RNase P) is a ubiquitous endoribonuclease, found in archaea, bacteria and eukarya as well as chloroplasts and mitochondria. Its best characterised activity is the generation of mature 5'-ends of tRNAs by cleaving the 5'-leader elements of precursor-tRNAs. Cellular RNase Ps are ribonucleoproteins. Lineage: Bacteria; Pseudomonadati; Pseudomonadota; Betaproteobacteria; Burkholderiales; Oxalobacteraceae. The record is from RNAcentral.